UCUAAGACCGGACGUAAUUGUUCUAAGGAGGAGCCGAUCGGCCGGGGCGCGAAUUGAUGACGUAAUUAAUCUAUGCCAAUUCAGAAUUCACCCCAGCCCCUGCUCCAGGCUAAAGAGAUUAAACUGAAAGGUUUCUGAGCAUGCGUGGGUUUUGGCCACGACCGGCGGUUUGUAGUUGUUAAGAUUUCUUGUGGGAGUGAGUCCCACCCUUGAGCUUCCUCUGGAGCGGAGCUAACCCCCGCCCGGAGCCCCGUGGUCGUAGCUCAGGAUAUGGAGGGCUCCGGCUCUGGCAUUCGUAGACGGGUAUCUAUCCGCAAGAGGCGCCGCCGUAGCUUGGGGGAGACUGCGGCCACUGGUCGGCUGGAACCGGGCGAGGAUGAUGACGACGACGAAGAGGAGGCGACCGAGGGCAGGAGGCGACGCAGCGAGAGCCCGGAGCCCCCCGAGUAUGAUGGCAGUGAAGAGGACAUGUUUGGUGGUUAUGACAGUUUUACUGAAAACUCUUUUUUAACUCAUGUAGAUGAUUUAGAACAAAAAUAUAUGCAGCCUCUUGAUCGUGGAAUAAUUACCACACAACCUGCUUUUGAAAAACUUUGUUCAAGAAGUACAGAGACCAGAGAAUUUGAUAUUAUUGCUACUAACAGUAACUUGGUUGAAGUUAAAACACUGGAUUCUCCAGAGACUUUGAAUUUGCAAGAAAAUAUGACCAUCAAACCUGGAGAUGACCUUUUAGAUGAUGUACCAUGCUCACAGGCUUUAUAUUUUGAAGAAACAAAGAACUCUUCAAGUGAUUCGAAUUGCCAGUCUGCUAAAGAAAGUUAUCCUCUAUAUUCAUACCAAACUUUGAAUGAUAUAUCUAUGGAACAAACCCAGCAAAAGAAAAAUUCAUCUCCUAAAAGCACAGAAUCUGAUAUGAAUAGGAGAAGAAGCCUCAAAGAUCAUUUGAAAAGUGCCAUGACAGGAAAUGCCAAAGCCCAGACGCCUAAGUUUUCUAAGAGGAAUCAACUGAAAGAAGCUAUCCUAUCUGAAGAGAUUAAUGUUGCUAAAAAAACAAUUGAAUCUUCUUCUGAUGACCUAGGUCCUUUUUAUUCAUUACCCAGUAAAGUUAGAGACUUGUUUGUGCAAUUCAAGGGGAUUAAAAAAUUAUAUGAUUGGCAACAUACUUGUUUAACAUUAACAUGUCUACAGCAGAGAAAGAAUUUAAUAUAUUCACUGCCAACCAGUGGUGGGAAAACUCUUGUAGCUGAGAUUUUAAUGCUUCAAGAAUUGCUCUGUAGGCAGAAGAAUGUCUUGAUGAUUCUACCUUAUGUAGCUAUUGUCCAAGAAAAGAUUUCAAGCUUGUCAAGUUUCGGAUUGGAGUUGGGUUUUCUUGUUGAAGAAUAUGCAGGAAGCAAAGGAAGAUUUCCUCCAAUUAAAAGAAGAGGAAAAAAAUCUUUGUAUAUUGCUACUAUUGAAAAGGGACAUGGUCUGGUGAACUCAUUAAUCGAAGAUGGAAGAAUUAACGAAUUGGGUCUAGUUGUCAUAGAUGAGUUGCACAUGAUUGGUGAAGGAAGCCGAGGAGCUGUACUGGAAAUUACCCUAGCAAAAAUUCUUUAUAUGAGCAAAACUACUCAAAUUAUUGGCAUGAGUGCAACAUUAAAUAAUGUUGAAGAAUUACAAGAAUUCCUGAAAGCAGAAUAUUAUACUAGUAAAUUUAGACCGGUAGAAUUAAAAGAAUAUCUGAAAAUAAAUGAUACCAUCUUUGAAGUUGACAUCAAAUCAGAGAAAGGCUAUACUUUUUCUCGUCUACUAAAUUGCAAGUAUUCUGAUAAUCUCAAAAAGAUGGAUCCUGAUCAUUUAGUUGCUUUGGUGACUGAAGUUAUUCCUAGCUAUUCCUGCUUGGUUUUUUGCCCUACUAAGAAAAACUGUGAAAAUGUAGCAGAUAUGAUAUGCAAGUUUUUGAACAAGGACUAUCUAAAACACAGGGAAAAAGAAAAAUGUGAUUUCCUUAAAAACUUGAAGAAUAUCAGUAAUGGCAGCCUGUGUCCUGUUCUCAAGCGCACCGUUCCAUUCGGAGUUGCUUAUCACCAUAGUGGCCUUACUAAUGAUGAAAGGAAGAUCUUAGAGGAAGCUUAUGCCACAGGAGUCCUUUGCCUUCUAACUUGCACUUCAACUUUAGCAGCUGGAGUGAAUCUACCAGCACGAAGAGUUAUUUUGAGAGCACCCUAUAUUGCAACACAGUUUCUAAAGAGAAAUCAGUAUCAACAGAUGAUUGGCAGAGCUGGUCGAGCUGGAAUGGAUACUGUUGGUGAGAGUAUCCUUAUAUUACAAGAAAAAGACAAGCAUUUGGUACUAGAUUUAGUAAACAGCCCACUGGAAAACUGUUAUAGUCAUCUUGGACAAGAAGUCACAAAAGGAAUCGAAAGUUUACUCCUAUCACUGAUUGGGCUAAAGAUAGCAAAGAAUCUUGAAGAUAUAUAUCAUUUUAUGUGUGGUACAUUUUUUGGCAUUCAGCAAAAGAGUUUAUCCAAAGAAAAAAGCCUUUGGGAAAUAUCUAGGAAAGCACUGGAAAACCUAAUAGAAAAAGGACUCCUACAAAAAAAAAAUAUUUCUAAGAAUGCAGAAGAGUCCCAGUGUGAUAUACAUAUCACAAAAUUAGGGCAAGCAUCUUUAAAAGGAACUUUGGACUUGGCUUACUGUGGAAUUCUUUACAAAGACUUAAAGAAAGGUCUUGAAGGACUUGUACUUGAAAGCUACCUUCAUCUAAUCUAUCUAACAACUCCAUAUGAUAUGGUUUCUCAGUGUAGGCCAGAUUGGAUGCUAUAUCUCAGACAGCUUAACCACCUCAGUUCAGCAGAACAAAAAGUAGCAGCAAUUGUUGGAGUAUCUGAAAGCUUUAUCAUAAAGAAAGCCUCAGGUCAAGCUAUUAAAAAGGAUGUGGACAAGGAUGUUGUCAACAGGUUCUAUCUCUCCUUUGUACUUUAUGCAUUGCUCAAAGAAACCAAUGUCUGGAGUGUGUCAGAAAAAUUUAAUAUGUCUCGAGGAUAUGUACAAAACCUUUUAACUGGUGCUGCCUCAUUCUCCUCUUGUAUACUACAUUUCUGUGAGGAGCUAGAGGAGUUUUGGGUUUACAGAGCUCUCUUGACAGAACUUACCAAGAAGCUGUCUUACUGCGUGAGGGCAGACCUGGUCCCUCUCAUGGAAGUAACUGGAAUUUUACAGUCUCGAGCAAAACAGUUAUAUAAUGCGGGUUAUAAAACUGUUGCACAUUUAGCUAAUGCAGAUCCUGAAGUGCUGAUAAGAACUAUUAAUCAUUUAUCACGACGUCAGGCCAAACAAAUUGUUUCCUCAGCAAAGGGCAUCUCAUCCAUCCAAGGAUCAUGGAGAGGUAUGGCUCCCCAGAGAGUGCCCAACAAGGUCAGAGGUGUUAUACUACCCCCAAGUGUGGGUGGCUGCAAAAACAAGGAGGAUUUGCUAAGACUUGGCACACACGCUGGUUUGUACUCAAGGGAGACCAGCUCUACUAUUUCAAGGAUAAAGAUGAAACACGACCAUUGGGUACCAUUUUACUGCCUGGGAACAAAGUUGUAGAGCAUCCCUACAAUGAAGAGAGCCCUGGACAGUUCCUUUUUGAAGUAAUUCCAGGACCAGACUGUGUGAUUGCUAAUUGCAGUGUCUGGUUAACUACAUUUGUAAGAGCCUGUUUCCAUGGAUAGCUACAGAACUGAAUGAGGAGCCAGGAAUGCCUAGGCUGAUGUAUGAUGCCCCUGGAAGCC
Monodelphis domestica (gray short-tailed opossum) is the source of this 3755-nucleotide non-coding RNA. The record is from RefSeq and is a predicted model, not a curated record. NCBI's taxonomy places the organism in Eukaryota, Metazoa, Chordata, Mammalia, Didelphimorphia, Didelphidae.